CUUUUAGGAUUAAUUUGAAGUCGUAUCUGCCCACUGAUAUGUAUUGAAGGGCUGCGGUAUUUUGACCGUGCAAAGGUAGCAUAAUCAUUAGUUUUUUAAUUGAGAACUGGAAUGAAUGAUUUGACGAAAUAACAACUGUCUCUUAAGUAAUGUAUGAAUUUAAUUUUUGAGUUAAAAAGCUUAAUUGUUAAUAGGGGACGAGAAGACCCUAUAGAUCUUUAUUGUGUUAUAAUUAUUUAUUGUGAAAGUAGAUUAAUGUGAAUUAAAAAUAUGAAAUACAAUUUUGUUGGGGUGAUAGUAGAAUAAAUGAACUUCUUUUGUAAUUUUAUUUUGAUAUAAAUUUAAAGGAUCCUUUAUUAUGGAUAUAAGAUUAAGAUACCUUAGGGAUAACAGCGUUAUUUUAUUUGAGAGUUCAAAUUGAUAAUAAGGAUUGCGACCUCGAUGUUGGAUUAAGAUUAUAGAUUGGUGUAGUAGCUAAUUAUAUUGGUCUGUUC
This 494-nucleotide ribosomal RNA is filed under the name Strogulomorphini sp. CR. RNAcentral's name for it is "partial 16S ribosomal RNA". It matches the Rfam family "Bacterial large subunit ribosomal RNA", at positions 1831 to 2582 of the family's 2925-position model. The record is from RNAcentral. Lineage: Eukaryota; Metazoa; Arthropoda; Insecta; Orthoptera; Phalangopsidae.